UGGGGAAUUUUGGACAAUGGGCGAAAGCCUGAUCCAGCAAUGCCGCGUGUGUGAAGAAGGCCUUCGGGUUGUAAAGCACUUUUGUCCGGAAAGAAAUCCUUGGCUCUAAUACAGUCGGGGGAUGACGGUACCGGAAGAAUAAGCACCGGCUAACUACGUGCCAGCAGCCGCGGUAAUACGUAGGGUGCAAGCGUUAAUCGGAAUUACUGGGCGUAAAGCGUGCGCAGGCGGUUUGCUAAGACCGAUGUGAAAUCCCCGGGCUCAACCUGGGAACUGCAUUGGUGACUGGCAGGCUAGAGUAUGGCAGAGGGGGGUAGAAUUCCACGUGUAGCAGUGAAAUGCGUAGAGAUGUGGAGGCAUACCGAUGGCGAAGGCAGCCCCCUGGGCCAAUACUGACGCUCAUGCACGAAAAGCGUGGGGAGCAAAACAGGAUUAGAUACCCUGGUAGUCCACGCCCUAAACGAUGUCAACUAGUUGUUGGGGAUUCAUUUCCUUAGUAACGUAGCUAACGCGUGAAGUUGACCGCCUGGGGAGUACGGUCGCAAGAUUAAAACUCAAAUGAAUUGACGGGGUCAUAGCUGUUUCCU
Molecule: ribosomal RNA, 587 nt
Filed under: uncultured bacterium
Lineage: Bacteria
Description: partial 16S ribosomal RNA
Rfam family: Bacterial small subunit ribosomal RNA
Source: RNAcentral